UGAAANCCCACGGCUCANCCGUGGAGGGUCAUUGGAAACUGGGAGACUUGAGUGCAGAAGAGGAGAGNGGAAUUCCNNGUGUAGCGGUGAAAUGCGUAGAUAUAUGGAGNNACACCAGUGGCGAAGGCGACUCUCUGGUCUGUAACUGACGCUGAGGCGCGAAAGCGUGGGGAGCAAACAGGAUUAGAUACCCUGGUAGUCCACGCCGUAAACGAUGAGUGCUAGGUGUUAGGGGUUUCGAUGCCCUUAGUGCCGAAGUUAACACAUUAAGCACUCCGCCUGGGGAGUACGACCGCAAGGUUGAAACUCAAAGGAAUUGACGGGGGCCCGCACAAGCAGUGGAGCAUGUGGUUUAAUUCGAAGCAACGCGAAGAACCUUACCAGGUCUUGACAUCCUUUGACAACCCUAGAGAUAGGGCUUUCCCCUUCGGGGGACAAAGUGACAGGUGGUGCAUGGUUGUCGUCAGCUCGUGUCGUGAGAUGUUGGGUUAAGUCCCGCAACGAGCGCAACCCUUGAUCUUAGUUGCCAGCAUUCAGUUGGGCACUCUAAGGUGACUGCCGGUGACAAACCGGAGGAAGGUGGGGAUGACGUCAAAUCAUCAUGCCCCUUAUGACCUGGGCUACACACGUGCUACAAUGGAUGGUACAAAGGGCAGCAAAACCGCGAGGUUGAGCCAAUCCCAUAAAGCCAUUCUCAGUUCGGAUUGCAGGCUGCAACUCGCCUACAUGAAGCCGGAAUUGCUAGUAAUCGCGGAUCAGCAUGCCGCGGUGAAUACGUUCCCGGGCCUUGUACACACCGCCCGUCACACCACGAGAGUUUGUAACACCCGAAGUCGGUGGGGUAACCUUUAUGGAGCCAGCCGCCUAAGGUGGGACAGAUGAUUGGGGUGAAGUCGUAACAAGGUAGCCGUAUCGGAAGGUGCGGCUGGAUCACCUCCUUAAUCGAAUUCC
This 951-nucleotide ribosomal RNA is filed under the name uncultured bacterium. Its description in RNAcentral is "bacterial SSU rRNA". It matches the Rfam family "Bacterial small subunit ribosomal RNA", at positions 595 to 1533 of the family's 1533-position model. The record is from RNAcentral.